Petromyzon marinus (sea lamprey) is the source of this 474-nucleotide long non-coding RNA. RefSeq lists it as uncharacterized. The record is from RefSeq and is a predicted model, not a curated record. NCBI's taxonomy places the organism in Eukaryota, Metazoa, Chordata, Hyperoartia, Petromyzontiformes, Petromyzontidae.
UCCGAGGGGUGUCUUGACCGAGGCUAUAUAAGAGCGGAGUGAACGCAUUUCGGUUAGUUCACGUUUGUCCGUCGUUCCGGAACGGGGGCAUCUUCAAAGAUUGGAUUAUACGCAGAGAGAGAGAGAGGGAGUGAGGGAGAGGCGAGGGCCAUGAAUUUCAUUGACCCGGACAUGGACAGAAUUCCCUUCUCAAGAGCAAAUCUUAAGAGGCAGUUUGCCUUCGACCGCCUGGCCCCGGCCAUGGGAACGUGGAAUGUCCGCAGCUUUGGAGGCGGUGCCCUGCAGGAGGUUCCCACGGGCGCGGAUGACAGCGGAAGCUUGGAUGAUGAGGUGGACAACUCUACCCACGUGCCACUCCUCACCCCCGUCAGUAAAGAUGUUGUAUCACGAGCCCUUGAUGCCUCCUUCAGUGACUUCGGGCACGAGAGAGACAGGCUGGGAAUUCCUGCCGGUGAUCACUCACACACUCACUCA